Long non-coding RNA from Neofelis nebulosa (Clouded leopard), 2798 nucleotides. RefSeq lists it as uncharacterized. The transcript has 3 exons. The record is from RefSeq and is a predicted model, not a curated record. NCBI's taxonomy places the organism in Eukaryota, Metazoa, Chordata, Mammalia, Carnivora, Felidae.
GUCACCAGAGACUGAGAAGCAGAAUGAGGUCACACUUCCUGUUGGGCUCACAGCAGUGGCAUUCACGCCCAGGAGGAUGGUGAAACCUCCAGUCUUCUGGACCAGCGACAGGCUUACACGCUUUGAAGAAGCAAGCUGCCAUGUUGGAAAAGCACACAAGACCAGAAUCUGAGGGGUUAUCUGAAAUGCCAGUGAAGGACUGAAGCCCUCAGUCCGAUGGCUGGGAAUCCACUCAACCGCCACCGGCAAACACAAGGCGGAUGCAAAGCAGGUCGUCAGAAGAUGCGUGUGUUCAUGGAGUCACAGAGCAUGAAACGACUACCCUCAGAGACGCCAGUGACUGGAAAUACGUGUUCCUGUGACUGGUGACAGAGAAACAUCAAGAAAUACCUGGCAUUGGUAUAUCGAUUAUAAUUUGCAAAACGUGUAAGAUUUGUUCUAUCGAAUUCGAUGUUCAUCACAACCCUGUGAAGUAGAUUUCCAACUCCCAUUUCUAUGUGAGGAAAGGAGCAUCAGAGAAGGGUCUGGUUCCCAAACACUCUGGUAAAAGUGUCAGGUUUAACUGAAUGACUCCUGGUUUUAUUCCAAACCCCUUGGCUCUAGAAUGCUUCAUCAUCUUAAAUUGCUAUAAAAAAAAAAAUAAUAGCAAGAAAUGAGUUAACGCAUGGAUUUCCUUUAAACGUAUAUGGUCUCCUGUGAUCUUCCUGCUACCUGUAGUUUUAAAAAAGAAAAGAAAGAAAACCGAAGGGUGUUUACUCUGAUCCUGAGGAAACGAACUCUGUUGAAUGUUUUGCAAAAAUACAAAAGAGGAAGUAAUCCAAUACCUGACCACAACUCGGUGUGGCUGCAAUAUUUUUUUACCGAGGCAAGCCAGUCAACUGUGGCCAUGCUUGUACAGGCAAGUUCUCUGCCCCUCCCCCAGAGGGGAACCUUUUCAUCUGCGCGUCAGGCGUUUACUUUGGAGACGGUGGCAGUGUGUUCGGGUCCCGACCAAGAGAGCAGACGCUUAGACCAAUGGCCAAGGGACCGGCUAGAGCACAUACUCUGACCCUGCACAUUCUUGCAUGCUGACAGUCAACGUUGUAGCCAACCCACCUGUUUGUGUGUCUGUUUCACUGCCCAGUUCAGUGCCUCAGGAUGGGGAAUUAAGCCUAUUUAUCGUCAGCUCCUGGGGCCUAGCACUGACUUGGCCCAUAUUCCAUAAAUGCCUGUGGCAAGGAAAUGGAAGCAGAAUGAUAUGUUUUACUUGCCAGAGCCUGAAUCGAAGCUAUGAAGAACUAGAAGGCGAUAAUAAUUUUAGAAUCUGCAUGGGCUUCUUGUUUGCAGCUUACUCCUCCGCAAAGUGUUUUCCAAAUGCCGCUUCCUCUCUGCAGUCUUCCUUGAUUUGCGGAGCCAGCAGAAGCAUACCAAGAUAUGUCUAUUUCAAACCAAUGAAUAUUUAAUUGAAUGUUAAUAUUGAUACCGGGCCUGGUUGUUUCUAUACCCAUCGCCCCAUCAUGACAAGUUACCUUAGAACUGGAUACCUGGUUUUAUUUUUCUUCCUGUUCUCUCACUGUGUAUUGCCCAGUUCCUAGCACUCGGUAGAAUUUCAGUAAAAGAGUGUUGGGUGAUUACACAAAUAAAUGAAUAAGGGAAGAAUGAAAGCAUGCCGUCUGCCUUAUCUGAGCAUGCCACCGAAUUGUAGCUAGCUCCGUUCUCAAGGAAAAUGACGAUCGGCAAGAGGUUAAAAGCGUUUGCUGUUUGAUUACUAUUUAUCUGUGUACUUGCUAUUUUCUGUUGCCCACCCUCUCCGUUCCCAGUUUUAACCAUCCCCGGCAGUGGGGUGUCUGGGCGGCUCAGUUGGCUAAGCAGCUGACUCUUGACCUUGGCUCAAGUCAUGAUCUCAUGGUUCCUGGGACUGAGCCCCAUGUCAGGCUCUGUACUGACAGUGCAGAGCCUGCUUGGGAUUCUGUUUCUCCCUCUCUCUCUGCUCUAACUCCUCAAAAAAAAAUAAGUAAACUUAGAAAGAAAAAACCCCCACAACAAUCCCCAGCAAUGUGUUUCUACAGUGUAGAGACUGCCUCUAAAAGCAAACACCUAAGGAAUCGGGAACGUGAAUGUUGAGUCAAUCCCUUACUAGAUUUGCUUUCCUGGUUUUGCAAACCAGGACAAGCAUUGUCAGUUCCGUCGCAUGGCUGUAAGUUGUAACUUGGAGUUCCGGUCAGUAUAAGCCAGUUGAGAGGAGUAUUCGUUGCUUUGCUGUCCAACUUCCAUUCUCUUUCUUUCAAGUAGUGGAGCUCCAACUUUCUUUAAAGGACCUACUCACCCCCAUCUCUCAGUCUAUGAGGUUUGGGCCAGUCUCUACUCCCACUUGCCUGGUUGGGGAUGGGACCCACCUGAUGGCAGUCCAAAUGACUCCCAUGGCCAUCACGCUUGGCUCACAGGUGGGCACCUGACUUAAUUUAGGCCAAUGACAAAGUGACCGCCAGAACUCCUUUUUGCAUCAGGAUGUUGUAAUGACAAGGCUGAAGCUGCUGGGGGCCUGGAGGUGGAUCCUGGGAGUCAAGCUAACCCCUAGGAAGCAGAAUAAAAAGAUGUUGUAAUUUGAUCCCUGAGUUAAACUGCCCCAGAAGGCCGACUGACCCCUUCUUGAUUCCACAAAUACAAACUUCCUUUAUGCUCAUACUUGUUUGCACUAACCUUUCUGUCGCAUGCAACCAAAUGAAUCCCAGCAUGACACAGUUCUGAAACUUCGCGUACGUAAGAAUCAUUUAGGAUGGCUUUGACACCACAGAUUGCUAAUCGCCAAACCUAUGAUG